AAAGCCAUAGAGAUAUGGCCCCCCUUGUGGUCGGUGUACAGGUGGUGCAUGGCUGUCGUCAGCUCGUGUCGUGAGAUGUUGGGUUAAGUCCCGCAACGAGCGCAACCCUUAUCUUAUGUUGCCAGCGCGUAAUGGCGGGGACUCGUGAGAGACUGCCGGGGUCAACUCGGAGGAAGGUGGGGACGACGUCAAGUCAUCAUGCCCCUUAUGUCCAGGGCUUCACACAUGCUACAAUGGCCGGUACAGAGGGCUGCGAUACCGUGAGGUGGAGCGAAUCCCUUAAAGCCGGUCUCAGUUCGGAUCGGGGUCUGCAACUCGACCCCGUGAAGUAGGAGUCGCUAGUAAUCGCAGAUCUGCAACGCUCGGGUGAAUAUGUUCCCGUGCCUUGUACACACCUCC
This 399-nucleotide ribosomal RNA is filed under the name Nocardia sp. Its description in RNAcentral is "bacterial SSU rRNA". It matches the Rfam family "Bacterial small subunit ribosomal RNA", at positions 994 to 1394 of the family's 1533-position model. Lineage: Bacteria; Bacillati; Actinomycetota; Actinomycetes; Mycobacteriales; Nocardiaceae. The record is from RNAcentral.